RNAcentral lists this transfer RNA (67 nucleotides) under Laomedia astacina. RNAcentral's name for it is "tRNA-Ala". Lineage: Eukaryota; Metazoa; Arthropoda; Malacostraca; Decapoda; Laomediidae. The record is from RNAcentral.
UGAAAUAAUAGUUCAAGAAGAAUUUAUAAUUUGCAUUUAUAAGAUAUAGAAUAUCUAUUUGUUUCAU